CCAAAUUCCAUGAAGAGGAAAGUACCCUUAUAAGAUUUCUGACAGCGAGUAGGAGCAGAGUGAAAGUCCUAUAAGAUAUUAUCAGGGGAAAAGGGCCUUGGAGAAGCCGCCUGAGCUUGUAAGUCAGGGCGUGACGUUGACUGCGUUAAAGUUCCAAGUGGAUUGCAGAUGCAAUCAACCAGAGUGGUACCACGGGAUUUGUCCGUCUCUUAU
This 213-nucleotide non-coding RNA is filed under the name Ruminiclostridium hungatei. RNAcentral describes it as "Clostridium hungatei T-box sequence". It matches the Rfam family "T-box leader". Rfam says of the family: Uncharged tRNA acts as the effector for transcription antitermination of genes in the T-box leader family. T-boxes are found upstream of many aminoacyl-tRNA synthetase genes and some amino acid biosynthetic genes usually in Gram-positive bacteria. The record is from RNAcentral. Lineage: Bacteria; Bacillati; Bacillota; Clostridia; Eubacteriales; Oscillospiraceae.